Molecule: ribosomal RNA, 754 nt
Filed under: uncultured bacterium
Lineage: Bacteria
Description: bacterial SSU rRNA
Rfam family: Bacterial small subunit ribosomal RNA
Source: RNAcentral
AGCGAGCUUGCCUAGAUGAUUUUAGUGCUUGCACUAAAUGAAACUAGAUACAAGCGAGCGGCGGACGGGUGAGUAACACGUGGGUAACCUGCCCAAGAGACUGGGAUAACACCUGGAAACAGAUGCUAAUACCGGAUAACAACACUAGACGCAUGUCUAGAGUUUGAAAGAUGGUUCUGCUAUCACUCUUGGAUGGACCUGCGGUGCAUUAGCUAGUUGGUAAGGUAACGGCUUACCAAGGCAAUGAUGCAUAGCCGAGUUGAGAGACUGAUCGGCCACAUUGGGACUGAGACACGGCCCAAACUCCUACGGGAGGCAGCAGUAGGGAAUCUUCCACAAUGGACGAAAGUCUGAUGGAGCAACGCCGCGUGAGUGAAGAAGGGUUUCGGCUCGUAAAGCUCUGUUGGUAGUGAAGAAAGAUAGAGGUAGUAACUGGCCUUUAUUUGACGGUAAUUACUUAGAAAGUCACGGCUAACUACGUGCCAGCAGCCGCGGUAAUACGUAGGUGGCAAGCGUUGUCCGGAUUUAUUGGGCGUAAAGCGAGUGCAGGCGGUUCAAUAAGUCUGAUGUGAAAGCCUUCGGCUCAACCGGAGAAUUGCAUCAGAAACUGUUGAACUUGAGUGCAGAAGAGGAGAGUGGAACUCCAUGUGUAGCGGUGGAAUGCGUAGAUAUAUGGAAGAACACCAGUGGCGAAGGCGGCUCUCUGGUCUGCAACUGACGCUGAGGCUCGAAAGCAUGGGUAGCGAACAGGAUU